AUGGAGAGUUUGAUUCUGGCUCAGAACGAACGCUGGCGGCGUGGAUAAGACAUGCAAGUCGAACGAGAGAAUUGCUAGCUUGCUAAUAAUUCUCUAGUGGCGCACGGGUGAGUAACACGUGAGUAACCUGCCCCCGAGAGCGGGAUAGCCCUGGGAAACUGGGAUUAAUACCGCAUAGUAUCGAAAGAUUAAAGCAGCAAUGCGCUUGGGGAUGGGCUCGCGGCCUAUUAGUUAGUUGGUGAGGUAACGGCUCACCAAGGCGAUGACGGGUAGCCGGUCUGAGAGGAUGUCCGGCCACACUGGAACUGAGACACGGUCCAGACACCUACGGGUGGCAGCAGUCGAGAAUCAUUCACAAUGGGGGAAACCCUGAUGGUGUGACGCCGCGUGGGGGAAUGAAGGUCUUCGGAUUGUAAACCCCUGUCAUGUGGGAGCAAAUUAAAAAGAUAGUACCACAAGAGGAAGAGACGGCUAACUCUGUGCCAGCAGCCGCGGUAAUACAGAGGUCUCAAGCGUUGUUCGGAAUCACUGGGCGUAAAGCGUGCGUAGGCUGUUUCGUAAGUCGUGUGUGAAAGGCGCGGGCUCAACCCGCGGACGGCACAUGAUACUGCGAGACUAGAGUAAUGGAGGGGGAACCGGAAUUCUCGGUGUAGCAGUGAAAUGCGUAGAUAUCGAGAGGAACACUCGUGGCGAAGGCGGGUUCCUGGACAUUAACUGACGCUGAGGCACGAAGGCCAGGGGAGCGAAAGGGAUUAGAUACCCCUGUAGUCCUGGCAGUAAACGGUGCACGCUUGGUGUGCGGGGAAUCGACCCCCUGCGUGCCGGAGCUAACGCGUUAAGCGUGCCGCCUGGGGAGUACGGUCGCAAGAUUAAAACUCAAAGAAAUUGACGGGGACCCGCACAAGCGGUGGAGUAUGUGGCUUAAUUCGAUGCAACGCGAAGAACCUUACCUGGGCUUGACAUGUAAUGAACAACAUGUGAAAGCAUGCGACUCUUCGGAGGCGUUACACAGGUGCUGCAUGGCCGUCGUCAGCUCGUGUCGUGAGAUGUUUGGUUAAGUCCAGCAACGAGCGCAACCCCUGUUGCCAGUUACCAGCACGUGAAGGUGGGGACUCUGGCGAGACUGCCCAGAUCAACUGGGAGGAAGGUGGGGACGACGUCAGGUCAGUAUGGCCCUUAUGCCCAGGGCUGCACACGUACUACAAUGCCCAGUACAGAGGGGGCCGAAGCCGCGAGGCGGAGGAAAUCCUAAAAACUGGGCCCAGUUCGGACUGUAGGCUGCAACCCGCCUACACGAAGCCGGAAUCGCUAGUAAUGGCGCAUCAGCUACGGCGCCGUGAAUACGUUCCCGGGUCUUGUACACACCGCCCGUCACAUCAUGGAAGCCGGUCGCACCCGAAGUAUCUGAAGCCAACCGCAAGGAGGCAGGGUCCUAAGGUGAGACUGGUAACUGGGAUGAAGUCGUAACAAGGUAGCCGUAGGGGAACCUGCGGCUGGAUCACCUCCUUUCUAUGGA
This 1516-nucleotide ribosomal RNA is filed under the name Akkermansia muciniphila. Its description in RNAcentral is "bacterial SSU rRNA". It matches the Rfam family "Bacterial small subunit ribosomal RNA". The record is from RNAcentral. Lineage: Bacteria; Pseudomonadati; Verrucomicrobiota; Verrucomicrobiia; Verrucomicrobiales; Akkermansiaceae.